Molecule: ribosomal RNA, 687 nt
Filed under: uncultured bacterium
Lineage: Bacteria
Description: bacterial SSU rRNA
Rfam family: Bacterial small subunit ribosomal RNA
Source: RNAcentral
UGGGAUAACACCUGGAAACAGAUGCUAAUACCGGAUAACAACACUAGACGCAUGUCUAGAGUUUAAAAGAUGGUUCUGCUAUCACUCUUGGAUGGACCUGCGGUGCAUUAGCUAGUUGGUAAGGUAACGGCUUACCAAGGCAAUGAUGCAUAGCCGAGUUGAGAGACUGAUCGGCCACAUUGGGACUGAGACACGGCCCAAACUCCUACGGGAGGCAGCAGUAGGGAAUCUUCCACAAUGGACGCAAGUCUGAUGGAGCAACGCCGCGUGAGUGAAGAAGGGUUUCGGCUCGUAAAGCUCUGUUGGUAGUGAAGAAAGAUAGAGGUAGUAACUGGCCUUUAUUUGACGGUAAUUACCUAGAAAGUCACGGCUAACUACGUGCCAGCAGCCGCGGUAAUACGUAGGUGGCAAGCGUUGUCCGGAUUUAUUGGGCGUAAAGCGAGUGCAGGCGGUUCAAUAAGUCUGAUGUGAAAGCCUUCGGCUCAACCGGAGAAUUGCAUCAGAAACUGUUGAACUUGAGUGCAGAAGAGGAGAGUGGAACUCCAUGUGUAGCGGUGGAAUGCGUAGAUAUAUGGAAGAACACCAGUGGCGAAGGCGGCUCUCUGGUCUGCAACUGACGCUGAGGCUCGAAAGCAUGGGUAGCGAACAGGAUUAGAUACCCUGGUAGUCCAUGCCGUAAACGAUGAG